Molecule: unclassified non-coding RNA, 336 nt
Filed under: soil metagenome
Description: partial contains 5.8S ribosomal RNA, internal transcribed spacer 2, and large subunit ribosomal RNA
Rfam family: 5.8S ribosomal RNA (bases 1-120)
Source: RNAcentral
GAUGAAGAACGCAGCGAAAUGCGAUAAGUAAUGUGAAUUGCAGAAUUCAGUGAAUCAUCGAAUCUUUGAACGCACAUUGCGCCCGCCAGUAUUCUGGCGGGCAUGCCUGUUCGAGCGUCAUUUCAACCAUCAAGCCCCAGGCUUGUGUUGGGGACCUGCGGCUGCCGCAGGCCCUGAAAACCAGUGGCGGGCUCGCUGUCACACCGGGCGUAGUAGAUUUUAUCUCGCUCAGGGCGUGCUGCGGGUUCCGGCCGUUAAAAAGCCUUUUUUACCCAAGGUUGACCUCGGAUCAGGUAGGAGGACCCGCUGAACUUAAGCAUAUCAAUAAGCGGAGGA